UACGUAGGCAGCAAGCGUUGUUCGGAGUUACUGGGCGUAAAGAGUGUGUAGGCGGUGGAAUAAGUGAGAUGUGAAAGACCAGGGCUUAACCUUGGGAUGUCAUUUCAGACUGUUUCGCUAGAGGUUAGUAGAGGAAGGUGGAAUUUCCGGUGUAGCGGUGAAAUGCGUAGAUAUCGGGAAGAACAUCAGUGGCGAAGGCGACCUUCUGGGCUAAUACUGACACUGAGGCGCGAAAGCAUGGGGAGCAAACAGG
Molecule: ribosomal RNA, 253 nt
Filed under: uncultured bacterium
Lineage: Bacteria
Description: partial 16S ribosomal RNA
Rfam family: Bacterial small subunit ribosomal RNA
Source: RNAcentral